RNAcentral lists this ribosomal RNA (496 nucleotides) under uncultured bacterium. RNAcentral's name for it is "bacterial SSU rRNA". It matches the Rfam family "Bacterial small subunit ribosomal RNA", at positions 95 to 606 of the family's 1533-position model. The record is from RNAcentral.
GUGGCGGACGGGUGAGUAACGCGUGAGCAACCUGCCUUUCAGAGGGGGACAACAGUUGGAAACGACUGCUAAUACCGCAUGAAGUAUUUUAAGGGCAUCCUUGAAAUACCAAAGAUUUAUCGCUGAAAGAUGGGCUCGCGUCUGAUUAGUUAGUUGGUGGGGUAAUGGCCUACCAAGACAGCGAUCAGUAGCCGGACUGAGAGGUUGAACGGCCACAUUGGGACUGAGAUACGGCCCAGACUCCUACGGGAGGCAGCAGUGGGGAAUAUUGGGCAAUGGGGGAAACCCUGACCCAGCAACGCCGCGUGAAGGAAGAAGGCUUUCGGGUUGUAAACUUCUUUGACGAGGGACGAAACAAAUGACGGUACCUCGAAAACAAGCCACGGCUAACUACGUGCCAGCAGCCGCGGUAAUACGUAGGUGGCAAGCGUUGUCCGGAUUUACUGGGUGUAAAGGGCGCGUAGGCGGAUAUGCAAGUCAGAUGUGAAAUACCGGG